GCAUCAAUGGGGUAGUGGUAACCUGGGUCGUUGCCAUAUGUGUGGUCGAUAAUGUGUUUUCGACCCGCCGGGGGUUCAAUUCCCCCUUGAUGCA
RNAcentral lists this transfer RNA (94 nucleotides) under Armillaria gallica. Its description in RNAcentral is "tRNA-Gly". It matches the Rfam family "tRNA". Rfam says of the family: Transfer RNA (tRNA) molecules are approximately 80 nucleotides in length. Their secondary structure includes four short double-helical elements and three loops (D, anti-codon, and T loops). The record is from RNAcentral. Lineage: Eukaryota; Fungi; Basidiomycota; Agaricomycetes; Agaricales; Physalacriaceae.